GGUUACUGAGUGGCGGACGGGUGAGUAACGCGUGGGUAACCUGCCUUAGACAGGGGGAUAACAUCAAGAAAUUGGUGCUAAUACCGCAUAUGCUUACAGUAUCGCAUGAUACAGUGAGGAAAACUCCGGUGGUCUAAGAUGGACCCGCGUCUGAUUAGCUAGUUGGAGGGGUAACGGCCCACCAAGGCGACGAUCAGUAGCCGACUUGAGAGAGUGAUCGGCCACAUUGGGACUGAGACACGGCCCAAACUCCUACGGGAGGCAGCAGUAGGGAAUAUUGCACAAUGGGGGAAACCCUGAUGCAGCGACGCCGCGUGAAGGAUGAAGUAUUUCGGUAUGUAAACUUCUAUCAGCAAGGAAGAAAAUGACGGUACUUGACUAAGAAGCCCCGGCUAAAUACGUGCCAGCAGCCGCGGUAAUACGUAUGGGGCAAGCGUUAUCCGGAUUUACUGGGUGUAAAGGGAGCGUAGGCGGCAUGGCAAGUCAGAAGUGAAAGCCUGGGGCUCAACCCCGGAAUUGCUUUUGAAACUGUCAAGCUAGAGUGUCGGAGGGGUAAGUGGAAUUCCUAGUGUAGCGGUGAAAUGCGUAGAUAUUAGGAGGAACACCAGUGGCAAAGGCGGCUUACUGGACGACUACUGACGCUGAGGCUCGAAAGCGUGGGGAGCAAACAGG
RNAcentral lists this ribosomal RNA (672 nucleotides) under uncultured rumen bacterium. RNAcentral's name for it is "bacterial SSU rRNA". It matches the Rfam family "Bacterial small subunit ribosomal RNA", at positions 86 to 776 of the family's 1533-position model. The record is from RNAcentral.